CAGUCGCCGCGGUAAUACGGAGGGAGCUAGCGUUAUUCGGAAUUACUGGGCGUAAAGCGCACGUAGGCGGCUUUGUAAGUAAGAGGUGAAAGCCUGGUGCUCAACACCAGAACUGCCUUUUAGACUGCAUCGCUUGAAUCAUGGAGAGGUCAGUGGAAUUCCGAGUGUAGAGGUGAAAUUCGUAGAUAUUCGGAAGAACACCAGUGGCGAAGGCGGCUGACUGGACAUGUAUUGACGCUGAGGUGCGAAAGCGUGGGGAGCAAACAGGAUUAGAUACCCGCGUAGUCCCUGUCUCUUAUAC
This 301-nucleotide ribosomal RNA is filed under the name uncultured bacterium. Its description in RNAcentral is "partial 16S ribosomal RNA". It matches the Rfam family "Bacterial small subunit ribosomal RNA", at positions 509 to 807 of the family's 1533-position model. The record is from RNAcentral.